GACGAACGCUGGCGGCGUGCUUAACACAUGCAAGUCGAACGGAAAGGCCCUGCUUUUGUGGGGUGCUGGAGUGGCGAACGGGUGAGUAACACGUGAGUAACCUGCCCUUGACUUUGGGAUAACUUCAGGAAACUGGGGCUCAUACCGGAUAGGAGCUCCUGCUUCAUGGUGGGGGUUGGUAAGUUUCGGCGGUUGGGGAUGGACUCGCGGCUGAUCAGCUUGUUGGUGGGGUAGUGGCUUACCAAGGCUUUGCAGGGUAGCCGGCCUGAGCGGGUCGCCGGACACAUUGGGACGGAGAUACGGCCCAGACUCCUACGGGAGGCAGCAGUGGGGAAGAUUGCACAAUGGGCGGAAGCCUGAUGCAGCAACGCCGCGUGCGGGAUGACGGCCUGCGGGUUGUAAACCGCUUUCGCCUGUGACGAAGCGUGAGUGACGGUAAUGGGUAAAGAAGCACCGGCUAACUACGUG
Molecule: ribosomal RNA, 468 nt
Filed under: uncultured bacterium
Lineage: Bacteria
Description: partial 16S ribosomal RNA
Rfam family: Bacterial small subunit ribosomal RNA
Source: RNAcentral